GCACGCCGCGUGAGUGAGAGGUCUUCGGAUCGUAAAACUCUGUUGUUAGAGAAGAACAUGCAGGAGAGUAACUGUUCUUGUAUUGACGGUAUCUAACCAGAAAGCCACGGCUAACUACGUGCCAGCAGCCGCGGUAAUACGUAGGUGGCAAGCGUUGUCCGGAUUUAUUGGGCGUAAAGGGAACGCAGGCGGUCCUUUAAGUCUGAUGUGAAAGCCUUCGGCUUAACCGAAGAAUUGCAUUGGAAACUGGAGGACUUGAGUGCAGAAGAGGAGAGUGGAACUCCAUGUGUAGCGGUAA
RNAcentral lists this ribosomal RNA (298 nucleotides) under Ligilactobacillus agilis. Its description in RNAcentral is "Lactobacillus agilis partial 16S ribosomal RNA". It matches the Rfam family "Bacterial small subunit ribosomal RNA", at positions 392 to 684 of the family's 1533-position model. Lineage: Bacteria; Bacillati; Bacillota; Bacilli; Lactobacillales; Lactobacillaceae. The record is from RNAcentral.